RNAcentral lists this ribosomal RNA (536 nucleotides) under uncultured bacterium. RNAcentral describes it as "partial 16S ribosomal RNA". It matches the Rfam family "Bacterial small subunit ribosomal RNA", at positions 355 to 869 of the family's 1533-position model. The record is from RNAcentral.
UGGGGAAUUUUGGACAAUGGGCGCAAGCCUGAUCCAGCCAUGCCGCGUGCGGGAAGAAGGCCUUCGGGUUGUAAACCGCUUUGUCAGGGAAGAAAUCUUCUGAGUUAAUACCUCGGGAGGAUGACGGUACCUGAAGAAUAAGCACCGGCUAACUACGUGCCAGCAGCCGCGGUAAUACGUAGGGUGCAAGCGUUAAUCGGAAUUACUGGGCGUAAAGCGUGCGCAGGCGGUUUUGUAAGACAGAGGUGAAAUCCCCGGGCUCAACCUGGGAACUGCCUUUGUGACUGCAAGGCUUGAGUGCGGCAGAGGGGGAUGGAAUUCCGCGUGUAGCAGUGAAAUGCGUAGAUAUGCGGAGGAACACCGAUGGCGAACGGCAAUCCCCGUCGGGCCUGCACUGACGCUACAUGGCAACGAAAGCGUGGGGAGCAAAACCAGGAUUAGACUAACCCCUGGUAGUCCACGCCCUAAACGAUGGUGCAACUGGUUAGUUGGGAAGGUUCCUUCAUCAGUAACGUAGCUAACGCGGUGAAGUUGAA